UGUGGCUCCAUGGUAGAGCAUCUUUAUUUUGCAUGCAGAAGGUCCCAGGUUCAGAUUCUGGCUGGACAA
Molecule: non-coding RNA, 69 nt
Organism: Podarcis lilfordi (Lilford's wall lizard)
Lineage: Eukaryota; Metazoa; Chordata; Lepidosauria; Squamata; Lacertidae
Source: the annotation of a GenBank genome assembly